CUCUCUGUAGCUCAGUUGGUUAGAGCGCUGCACCGGAAUCACAGGGCCGCAGAUUCAAUUCCUGCCAGAGGGC
RNAcentral lists this transfer RNA (73 nucleotides) under Paramuricea clavata. It matches the Rfam family "tRNA". Rfam says of the family: Transfer RNA (tRNA) molecules are approximately 80 nucleotides in length. Their secondary structure includes four short double-helical elements and three loops (D, anti-codon, and T loops). Further hydrogen bonds mediate the characteristic L-shaped molecular structure. tRNAs have two regions of fundamental functional importance: the anti-codon, which is responsible for specific mRNA codon recognition, and the 3' end, to which the tRNAs corresponding amino acid is attached (by aminoacyl-tRNA synthetases). tRNAs cope with the degeneracy of the genetic code in two manners: having more than one tRNA (with a specific anti-codon) for a particular amino acid; and 'wobble' base-pairing, i.e. permitting non-standard base-pairing at the 3rd anti-codon position. Lineage: Eukaryota; Metazoa; Cnidaria; Anthozoa; Malacalcyonacea; Plexauridae. The record is from Rfam by way of RNAcentral.